CCUACGGGGGGCUGCAGUGAGGAAUAUUGGUCAAUGGGCGAGAGCCUGAACCAGCCAAGUCGCGUGAGGGAGUACUGCCCUAUGGGUUGUAAACAUCUUUUGUCGGGGAGCAAAAGCCGGACGUGUCAGGCUGUGAGAGUACCGGAAGAAAAAGCAGCGGCUAACUCCGGGCGCGCGGCGGCGGUAAUAAGAAGGAUGCGAGCGUUAUACGGAUUAAUAGGGUGUAAAGGGUGAGCAGGCGGGUUUUUACGUCAGCGGUCAAAUCUUGGGGCUCAAUCCCGUCCAGCCGUUGAGACUGGAGAUCUAGAGUGUGCUAGAGGUAGGCAGAAUGCGUGGUGUAGCGGUGAAAUGCGUAGAGAUCACGCGGAACCCCGAUUGCGAAGGCAGCAUACCGGUGCACAACUGACGCUCAGGCACGAAAGCGUGGGUAGCGAACAGGAUUAGAUACCCUUGUAGUC
Molecule: ribosomal RNA, 458 nt
Filed under: uncultured bacterium
Lineage: Bacteria
Description: partial 16S ribosomal RNA
Rfam family: Bacterial small subunit ribosomal RNA
Source: RNAcentral